Molecule: small nucleolar RNA, 286 nt
Organism: Astatotilapia calliptera (eastern happy)
Lineage: Eukaryota; Metazoa; Chordata; Actinopteri; Cichliformes; Cichlidae
Source: Ensembl
GCCCUGUGAUGAGACCAAGGCGAAUAUGAGCUUGCUGAAUGAGAGCUGGGUUCCUCUUGCCUUGACUGGCAGGUAAUCUUGGCAGUGCAGAGGAGGAUUCCUGCUCUGCUGUAAGGGCCUGCCUAUAGUGACUUGGCUCGACUCGAAUUAUUCCCUUAAAGUUAUAGCGGAGUAACCACGAGGAUGAAGCUCACAGUGUGUGUUUGUGUGUAAGGGGCAAGAAGUUCACCCAGCUCUCACUGCUGUUCAGUCAGCCAUGAGCUGUUUCUUUGGUAAUCUGAGGGCC